CAGUUAAUGCGAGUAUCAUUGAGAAAUUUACUUAUUUACUUUCGAACCAUGACAUUUCGACUCUUUCUAUCAUGUAAUACGUGGUAUUGAUUAAUGGCCUAGAAUGCAGUAAUCGCUUCUAACGAGUUCCGCCGCGGGAAUUAGCUGGAUCUGCAAUAUAAUGAUUUGCUGAAUAAUUUCGCCUGUGAAAAUCAUCCUGUCAAUAAUUUUUGAACGAGUAAUACGCAAAGAUACAAGAGAAAAAACAGAGGCGAAAGCUGUUCCAAUACUUCAGAAUUAUUGCAAACAAUCAGAAUUGUCUACUAGUUGUCUUUACUUCCAAAGAAGUUCCUGUUCUGUACAUCCGACAAAACGUCCUAUAUGGAUAGUAAGAAUGUUUGACCAUCAAUCAGAUUAGAAAACGAAAACGUUUUUCACUUUAAUCUUAUAUUUAAAUGGUACAUCAAUCAGUGCUGUGUUUAUUGAAUGAUUUUAUGAUGGCGGCGAGAGUAUUUUUUAUUGAUGAGUGGGAUAUUAGGUCUCUAGCUAUCCUAAAGAUAUGGGAAGCAAGAUGCUCCAUGAAGGAGAGGAGUUGAAUAAGAAGAUAUGAAUAAAAAUUUCAAUAUUUUUUCAAAGAAUUUUGCGUUACUUAAUAUUCGUCAUUUAAUGUGUCAAAUCGUAAAAUCGGCGGAGGAAGCUGAUGCUGCUCACGAAUUUAUUACAAAUCUUCCAAAUGAUAUGAAGCUGGUGAGAGAGGCACCUUACUAUCUGGUGUAUGAAAACAACAUGUUUUUAUUGCUAGAACAUUACUAUGGCAACCAUCAACUACAAUAUUGAAUUUUAAUAAAGGAGGUACGAAAAUAUCAUAUCGCAUUGGAUUGUGAAUGCAGAAGAGUGGUUUACAAAGCAGUUGGAAAUUCUAACCAAGGCAGAAACAUCGUUAGCUAUUGUUCAUGUAUGCAAUAUGUGAUUGGGAAUACGUAGGAAGAAGAAAAGGAAGAAAAAACAUUUGUGCUUGACGACGAAAUUUGGAAAAGUCAAUAUGGUGCUGUCUUAUAAAGCGUGGGACGGUGAUACGAGGAGGUGGGAGGGAUUUACUUCAUUCAAAGGUUCCAACCGCGAGCGGCUUUAGCUGGAGUGUCUAUGCGAUUCUACUGAGAAUGAUUUGUCGAAGGGCCGUUCGACGUUGCAUGCAUUAGAAGAGUCAAAUGGAACAAAUACAUUUAUAAGAGAAUAUUUUCAAAGAAUCCUACGUCAAAAACAUAUUCAUCAUCUAUUAUGGAAUGUCAAGCAAUUGACUUUCGAAGUUGUUCACCAGUGUUAUCAUCUAAAAAGGUUGUUAUUUAAUAUUUUUAGUUCCUUGUUACAGUUUUUAGGCAAUGACAUGCCGCUUUAUAUUAUAGCCCGAAUUUAAAAAAAGGAAGAAAAGAAAAAUACAUAUCCAUAUAUCUUAUGUGCGGACACUGAAUUAUAUAAUAUCGAUCGGCGGUAUUUUACUAUGUACAAUUACCGACGGUUUCCAAAACAUAUUUGGUAUUUCUAAGCUGUAGUAAUAAUCAACGUGCUGGGUUCGAAAGGAAGGCAUUUCCUUUUCAAACGUGAUCCGCAUAAUUAUGUUCCAUAGCGUCUUCAUUACGUGGUUGCAAUUAACAAGGAAGAAGAGGACGAAGAGGAGGAAGAGGACAAACAUUUAUAAUGGUGUUCACGACGAUCCUCAUGGUAUUGCCUCAAGGUAAUCCUCAAUUAAAAUAGUGCUGUAUUACAAAGCUUCAUUCAUAUGGUGGUACGAGGAUACGGAAUAUACGUUAUUGAAAGGAUUCAAAGUAAGUGGCUUUAGAUAGAGGAUAUAAUGGAGUGUUAUGGGAAAGAUUCAUCGUAGGGUUGUUUGUCGUUGCAAAGGGAAUCUGGAUUCAAAUGGAACUGAAAUGGUACUCAGGCAGCUUUAUCAUUGAAAAUGAUCAAAGCUGCAUAUACGAUCAAAGUAUUCAUUGUUCUUCGGGAUAAUAACGUUAGCCCGGACACGCUUUUAAAUUAUGCGUUAAUAUGUAGUGUACGUUUAUCUCACCGUGUCAUCGUUAUACCGUCAGUUUAUAUUAUUAUUCAAUAUAAUUAAAAAGAGAAGAAGUGUUUGGUUCAAUGUUCCAAAUUAUUUGUCAGAAUAUUCACGUCAUGUACUUAAAAAUAAUGUAUAAUGUACGUUUUUCAGAAAUAUAGGUAUUUGGACGAACUAAAUUAUUACGUAGCGCAAAUAUCUUACGAUUGAGAUUUAAUGAAAAUGCAUGCAUACGUUACGUUCUUCCAUACGUAUCGUCGUGUACGUUCGUGUUACAAUAACUUUUAAAUACAAUAUUCUGAAUUCUACUUUCUUGGUAAUGUCAACAUUCUCUUCGCACAAAAUAAAUAAAUAUGAAUAAUUAAAUGCCAAAAAAAUUUUCCUCGUUGGAAAGUGGAUAAACGCAAUUCGACUUUUACAUCGUGAAAUGAUCGAAAAGAUAUGAGUAUGGAGAAUCACAUGGGGAAUCAAAUGGAGAAAAAAGAAUCAAGAAGAAAAAACAGAGAUAAAAGCAAACAGAAAUCUUCUUUUUACGCUAAUAUCGAUCCAAAAUUGUUGGUAACAUUGUGAAGAGAUAAUUAGGGAUCGUGAAAAUAUGAAAAAGAGGGGAUUAAACGAAACAGCGCAUGCUCGAGUCAAUAUAAAAGAUAUUGGGAGCCGUCCGCGGAAGUUGAUAAACUAUUUAUUCUGUUUCGAAUCGUCCUACAAGCAACUUCCUUGAGGUUUCAAGAGAGGGACGAAUUAGAAUAAUAUGUAAGUUCCUGUCCAUCGCGAUAAUGUUACUUAUCUGGAAGAUUAUAAAAAACGCGCUAUCGAUAGUCCUGCAAGGCGUAAUUAUUAAUCGAGUUAAAACUAUUUGUGCUAGUACUUGGUAAGUUCAUUACAUUCUGUUAAAAAUUAGUUUAUAUAUUUUCUCUUUUCUUUUGAAUGAAAUUUAUGAAUGAAAUUUUCUCUAUUCUUUUCAGAUGGUAGACUGAUUCGAUAUAUACGCAAAUACAUGCAUAUAUAUAUAUUUCACCGCACUGUGUACUUUGUAUGUACUAAAGUCUAAUGUUCAUGUCUAUAUUUAUUUAUAUAUUUGUCUAUAAACUGAUAUACUCUUUAUAUAUUUCUGAGAAUCAUAUGGAUAUAGAUAAAUGUAUAAAUAAAUAAGCUCAUAAUUUGCCUUCAAUACGUAUAACAUAAGCAGUGCGUUGUAAAAUAUAUAUACAUAUAUAUAUGUAUAUAUAUACACAUAUGUGUAUACAUAUGUGUCAUACGAAUAUCAGUAAACCACGGAUGUAAAAUUGAAAAGAAAAUUGAAAAAUAAGUCAAAAUAAAAAAUGAAGUUAAUAUUAAAGAAGAAAAGAGACAUCGAGAAAAGAAGCAAGCUUAUAUGUACUAGAAAACUCUGAAGUGUGUUUAACAGAAUAAAAUAUCAAGAGGAUAGAAAUAUACACGUCCAGGAGAGUCGAGCACAUAAUUCAAGGAACCAUUAAAGAGGAAUAUUAAUGGCUACGACGAGUAUAUUCUAUUCCUGGCAAUCUGCUGUAAGUAAUUCUUCAUUUUCUUGAUUAGCGGCGAGUAAUAAUUAUAAUAGAAAUAUUUGUGAAAAUUCUGCUUUAAAUUUCUAAUUUGAUCGUAUCAUAUUCUUAUUGCUUUGGAGACAAUGGCCAUAGAAAUUGGUUUCCCAUAUCAAGUUGCAUAAAACCAAAGAACUGUAACACUUCUGAUCCUGAUGAUAUAGACGUCCGUGUAUUAUAAAGGAAACUUUUUUAUAUAAUUAUAAUUAUAUUAUAUUUUA
Vespula vulgaris is the source of this 3815-nucleotide long non-coding RNA. RefSeq lists it as uncharacterized. The transcript has 9 exons. NCBI's taxonomy places the organism in Eukaryota, Metazoa, Arthropoda, Insecta, Hymenoptera, Vespidae. The record is from RefSeq and is a predicted model, not a curated record.